Molecule: ribosomal RNA, 1562 nt
Filed under: Vibrio diabolicus
Lineage: Bacteria; Pseudomonadati; Pseudomonadota; Gammaproteobacteria; Vibrionales; Vibrionaceae
Description: bacterial SSU rRNA
Rfam family: Bacterial small subunit ribosomal RNA
Source: RNAcentral
AAAUUGAAGAGUUUGAUCAUGGCUCAGAUUGAACGCUGGCGGCAGGCCUAACACAUGCAAGUCGAGCGGAAACGAGUUAUCUGAACCUUCGGGGGACGAUAACGGCGUCGAGCGGCGGACGGGUGAGUAAUGCCUAGGAAAUUGCCCUGAUGUGGGGGAUAACCAUUGGAAACGAUGGCUAAUACCGCAUGAUGCCUACGGGCCAAAGAGGGGGACCUUCGGGCCUCUCGCGUCAGGAUAUGCCUAGGUGGGAUUAGCUAGUUGGUGAGGUAAGGGCUCACCAAGGCGACGAUCCCUAGCUGGUCUGAGAGGAUGAUCAGCCACACUGGAACUGAGACACGGUCCAGACUCCUACGGGAGGCAGCAGUGGGGAAUAUUGCACAAUGGGCGCAAGCCUGAUGCAGCCAUGCCGCGUGUAUGAAGAAGGCCUUCGGGUUGUAAAGUACUUUCAGUCGUGAGGAAGGUAGUGUAGUUAAUAGCUGCAUUAUUUGACGUUAGCGACAGAAGAAGCACCGGCUAACUCCGUGCCAGCAGCCGCGGUAAUACGGAGGGUGCGAGCGUUAAUCGGAAUUACUGGGCGUAAAGCGCAUGCAGGUGGUUUGUUAAGUCAGAUGUGAAAGCCCGGGGCUCAACCUCGGAAUAGCAUUUGAAACUGGCAGACUAGAGUACUGUAGAGGGGGGUAGAAUUUCAGGUGUAGCGGUGAAAUGCGUAGAGAUCUGAAGGAAUACCGGUGGCGAAGGCGGCCCCCUGGACAGAUACUGACACUCAGAUGCGAAAGCGUGGGGAGCAAACAGGAUUAGAUACCCUGGUAGUCCACGCCGUAAACGAUGUCUACUUGGAGGUUGUGGCCUUGAGCCGUGGCUUUCGGAGCUAACGCGUUAAGUAGACCGCCUGGGGAGUACGGUCGCAAGAUUAAAACUCAAAUGAAUUGACGGGGGCCCGCACAAGCGGUGGAGCAUGUGGUUUAAUUCGAUGCAACGCGAAGAACCUUACCUACUCUUGACAUCCAGAGAACUUUCCAGAGAUGGAUUGGUGCCUUCGGGAACUCUGAGACAGGUGCUGCAUGGCUGUCGUCAGCUCGUGUUGUGAAAUGUUGGGUUAAGUCCCGCAACGAGCGCAACCCUUAUCCUUGUUUGCCAGCGAGUAAUGUCGGGAACUCCAGGGAGACUGCCGGUGAUAAACCGGAGGAAGGUGGGGACGACGUCAAGUCAUCAUGGCCCUUACGAGUAGGGCUACACACGUGCUACAAUGGCGCAUACAGAGGGCGGCCAACUUGCGAAAGUGAGCGAAUCCCAAAAAGUGCGUCGUAGUCCGGAUUGGAGUCUGCAACUCGACUCCAUGAAGUCGGAAUCGCUAGUAAUCGUGGAUCAGAAUGCCACGGUGAAUACGUUCCCGGGCCUUGUACACACCGCCCGUCACACCAUGGGAGUGGGCUGCAAAAGAAGUAGGUAGUUUAACCUUCGGGGGGACGCUUACCACUUUGUGGUUCAUGACUGGGGUGAAGUCGUAACAAGGUAGCGCUAGGGGAACCUGGCGCUGGAUCACCUCCUUAUACGAUGAU